This 865-nucleotide long non-coding RNA is filed under the name Panax ginseng (ginseng). Its description in RNAcentral is "long non-coding RNA (PGIN_LNC016542)". Lineage: Eukaryota; Viridiplantae; Streptophyta; Magnoliopsida; Apiales; Araliaceae. The record is from RNAcentral.
UUUGAAAAUUUCUUAAAUUGACUUUGAAACCUAUAUUUUUGAAUGGAGGGAGUAUUACUUUUAAACACUACUUACAUCAUACAUGGGUUCUCCUUGGAUGUGACUGUUCUUAGUAGUGCUCCUUUGACAGUACUACAGUAGGGUCACAAUUUAUUUUACAUUUUGUGAGUUUGAUAUACCUAUUCCUGUUUCAAUUUGAAAGUGCAUUUUGUUUCUGAGUUUGAUAUACCUAUUCCCGAACUUCAUUUAAGAACCAGGAGCACCAUACCUAUGCCUUUUAGCUCAUGCUUUCACUUCCGUUUUCCUCCAUAAUACUGACCUUCAAAAAGUAAAAAAUGUCUGAGGUAUUAAUGAAGACUGUGUCUCAGAGAAGUUGGUAGUCACAAGUCAUCACACAAGCAUAUAUGCCAUGUCUAUUUCUCACCCCAACUUUCCUAAUAAUUUGCAAAGCAUUUGAUAUUGUUUCAUAUUCUGGGCCGGGGCAUAUCAUUUGAUAUGGUUUCAUAUUUGAUAUUGUUUCAUUUGAUAUUGUUUCAAUAUAUUAUGUGAAUGUACUAAUACAUUUUGGAUGGUACUCUACAUAUGUUACCUGGUAGGCUUACCAAGUUUUAAUUAGCAAGUAUAUAACUAUCCCAAUCAGUACUAGGUAUUUGUUUCCUCUUCUAAUCUCAAAUUUUCCUUUAUGAAAGGUUCAUGGAGUACGUAUGAUGACACUCUUGGAAAAUGUUUCAAUGAUUUCAUGUUGGUCUCUGAUGCUUACGACCCUGAUAGCAAUAUUGUUUAAAACAGAUUUACACUAAUGUUCUAAUUGCUAACUGUUUUUGGGCUUUUAUUAACAUUAACUUGCUUUUUUGGUUGAUUUUAU